Molecule: regulatory RNA element, 123 nt
Organism: Lactococcus lactis
Lineage: Bacteria; Bacillati; Bacillota; Bacilli; Lactobacillales; Streptococcaceae
Rfam family: PyrR binding site
About the family: This family represents the PyrR binding site and terminator structure. This RNA structure is found upstream of a variety of genes involved in pyrimidine biosynthesis and transport. The alignment also includes a portion of the antiterminator structure.
Source: Rfam
CUAACCUUUAAGAUUGUCCAGAGAGGCAGGCAAGGUCAGAAAUUAAUAAUGUAAUAAUAUGAUGGAUACUGUCCAUUUUCUGAUACCUACCUGCAUUCUCUUUGGAAUGCAGCUUUUUUGUAU